AUCCAGCCGACGGGUCCCAAACAGGACGAAACACGCGUCCUGGAU
This 45-nucleotide non-coding RNA is filed under the name Schistosoma haematobium. Lineage: Eukaryota; Metazoa; Platyhelminthes; Trematoda; Strigeidida; Schistosomatidae. The record is from RNAcentral.